UAAUACGAGGGGUGCAAGCGUUAAUCGGAAUUACUGGGCGUAAAGCGUUCGUAGGCGGUUAUUUAAGCAAGAUGUGAAAGCCCAGGGCUCAACCUUGGAACUGCAUUUUGAACUGGGUAACUAGAGUACUGUAGAGGGUGGUGGAAUUUCCAGUGUAGCGGUGAAAUGCGUAGAGAUUGGAAGGAACAUCAGUGGCGAAGGCGGCCACCUGGACAGAUACUGACGCUGAGGAACGAAAGCGUGGGGAGCGAACAGGAUUAGAUACCCUGGUAGUCCACGCCGUAAACGAUGUCAACUAGCCGUUCGUGGACUUGAUCCGUGAGUGGCGCAGCUAACGCACUAAGUUGACCGCCUGGGGAGUACGGCCGCAAGGUUA
This 376-nucleotide ribosomal RNA is filed under the name uncultured Gammaproteobacteria bacterium. RNAcentral describes it as "bacterial SSU rRNA". It matches the Rfam family "Bacterial small subunit ribosomal RNA", at positions 521 to 896 of the family's 1533-position model. The record is from RNAcentral. Lineage: Bacteria; Pseudomonadati; Pseudomonadota; Gammaproteobacteria.